GACGAACGCUGGCGGCGUGCCUAACACAUGCAAGUCGAGCGGAGUCAGUAAGAGGAAGUUUUCGGAUGGAAUCUUGUUGAUUUAGCGGCGGACGGGUGAGUAACGCGUGAGCGACCAACCUUGCACAGGGGGAUAACGGACCGAAAGGUUCACUAAUACCGCAUGAGACCACGGUGUUGCAUGACACAGGGGGUCAAAGGAGGAAUCCGGUGCAAGACGGGCUCGCGUCCGAUUAGGUAGUUGGAGGGGUAACGGCCCACCAAGCCUAUGAUCGGUAGCCGACCUGAGAGGGUGAUCGGCCACAUUGGAACUGAGAUACGGUCCAAACUCCUACGGGAGGCAGCAGUGGGGAAUAUUGGGCAAUGGGGGAAACCCUGACCCAGCAACGCCGCGUGAAGGAAGAAGGUUUUCGGAUUGUAAACUUCUGUCCUUGGUGAAGAGAAGAAGACGGUAGCCAAGGAGGAAGCCCCGGCUAACUACGUG
Molecule: ribosomal RNA, 483 nt
Filed under: uncultured bacterium
Lineage: Bacteria
Description: bacterial SSU rRNA
Rfam family: Bacterial small subunit ribosomal RNA
Source: RNAcentral